CAUGUCUAAGAACAUAUGUGUAAACAUGAAUCUGCGAACGGCUCAUUAUUAACACCCGUAAUCUACCCAGUUUUCGUAUCCAAAACGGAUAUCUGCGUUAAUUUUGGAGCUAAUACGUGCACCAACGUGCUGCUAGCAAUAGUGGCACGCACUUAUUAGAUCAAGGCCGAUUGGGGCAACCCUUUUGGUGACUCUGAAUAAUUUUGCGGAUCGUACGGUCUUGUACCGACGACGUACUGGUCGAGCGGGUGCCCUAUCAACUAUUGAUGGAAGUCUAUGUGUCUUCCAUGGUUGUAACGGGUAACGGAGAAUAAGGGUUCGACUCCGGAGAGCUAGCCUUAGAAACGGCUAUCACAUCCAAGGAAGGCAGCAGGCGCGUAAAUUACCCACUCUCAAUUCGAGGAGGUAGUGACUAUCAAUAACGAGACAGAUCUCUUUGAGGUCUGUCAUUGCAAUGAGCACAACUUAAAGACUUUAACGAAGUCUAUG
Molecule: ribosomal RNA, 489 nt
Filed under: Pristionchus sp. BRC20406
Lineage: Eukaryota; Metazoa; Nematoda; Chromadorea; Rhabditida; Neodiplogasteridae
Description: SSU rRNA
Rfam family: Eukaryotic small subunit ribosomal RNA
Source: RNAcentral